RNAcentral lists this ribosomal RNA (573 nucleotides) under Marinobacter sp. CR-IV-E33. RNAcentral describes it as "bacterial SSU rRNA". It matches the Rfam family "Bacterial small subunit ribosomal RNA", at positions 103 to 672 of the family's 1533-position model. The record is from RNAcentral. Lineage: Bacteria; Pseudomonadati; Pseudomonadota; Gammaproteobacteria; Pseudomonadales; Marinobacteraceae.
CGGGUGAGUAAUGCUUAGGAAUCUGCCUAGUAGUGGGGGAUAGCCCGGGGAAACCCGGAUUAAUACCGCAUACGUCCUACGGGAGAAAGCAGGGGAUCUUCGGACCUUGCGCUAUUAGAUGAGCCUAAGUCGGAUUAGCUAGUUGGUGGGGUAAGAGCCUACCAAGGCGACGAUCCGUAGCUGGUCUGAGAGGAUGAUCAGCCACAUCGGGACUGAGACACGGCCCGAACUCCUACGGGAGGCAGCAGUGGGGAAUAUUGGACAAUGGGGGCAACCCUGAUCCAGCCAUGCCGCGUGUGUGAAGAAGGCUUUCGGGUUGUAAAGCACUUUCAGUGAGGAGGAAAAGUUGGUCGCUAAUAUCGGCCAGCCUUGACGUUACUCACAGAAGAAGCACCGGCUAACUCCGUGCCAGCAGCCGCGGUAAUACGGAGGGUGCAAGCGUUAAUCGGAAUUACUGGGCGUAAAGCGCGCGUAGGUGGUUUGUUAAGCGAGAUGUGAAAGCCCCGGGCUUAACCUGGGAACGGCAUUUCGAACUGGCAAGCUAGAGUGUGGUAGAGGGUAGUGGAAUUUCCU